RNAcentral lists this ribosomal RNA (461 nucleotides) under uncultured bacterium. RNAcentral describes it as "bacterial SSU rRNA". It matches the Rfam family "Bacterial small subunit ribosomal RNA", at positions 339 to 793 of the family's 1533-position model. The record is from RNAcentral.
AUACGGGAGGCAGCAGUGGGGAAUAUUGGGCAAUGGGCGCAAGCCUGACCCAGCCACGCCGCGUGAGUGAUGAAGGCCUUCGGGUCGUAAAGCUCUGUGGGGAGGGACGAACCUCCGCAACCUAAUACGUUGCGGACUGACGGUACCUCCUUAGCAAGCACCGGCCAACUCCGUGCCAGCAGCCGCGGUAAUACGGAGGGUGCAAACGUUGCUCGGAAUCAUUGGGCGUAAAGCGCGCGUAGGCGGUCCGGUUAGUCGGGUGUGAAAGCCCUAGGCUUAACCUAGGAAGUGCAUCCGAAACUGCCGGGCUAGAGUACCGGAGAGGGCGACGGAAUUCCCGGUGUAGAGGUGAAAUUCGUAGAUAUCGGGAGGAACACCAGCGGCGAAGGCGGUCGCCUGGACGGAUACUGACGCUGAGGCGCGAAAGCGUGGGGAGCAAACAGGAUUAGAUACCCCCGUAC